GCCUUAAAUAGCCGGGCUGCUGCAGACACGCGCUUGGUAGCUGAGCCUGGGACCCGCGGGAGAAGUGCCUGGGAAACCGCGCGCCCAGCCUGCCCUCGGCUGGGGGUGGCGAAGGGGCGCACCAUGCCUGCGGACAUCCCGGGGAAGCCGAGGGCCUCGCCGCGGGCGGGAGCGGCGGGGGGGGCGGCCCCGGCCCCCGCACACCCCCCCGCCGCCGNNNNNNNNNNNNNNNNNGCCCCCUCCUGGACGCCCUCAGGAAAGGGGUGGGUUGGGGGGGGGGACAAGACUGGGGAGCCUGGAAUCCCGGCCUUCCUGGGCGGCCCGCCGCCCUCACCGGCCCCGCCCGCAGAGCUCCCGCCGCUCGAAGCUGGAGAAGGCGGACAUCCUGGAGCUGACCGUGAGGCACCUGCAGAGCCUGCGGCGCGUGCAGGUGACAGACGCUGUCGCCAAAGAGGUGUUUGUGCUGAGGCCCCUGUCAGCCCUCCAGGGACCUCUCCAGCUCCGAGGGAACCACACUGUUCCUCAGACAGACUUUCUCGGUGGAUAAUAGAAGAAGCACCUUCUCUGGACAAAAGUGCGGAGGGGGUGGGGAAAGAACCAGAACUUCCUCCUUCUGGGGGAGGGUGUGGCCCCUUUUCCCCGCCACUGGCAGGGGGAGGGGGGGUCCUCUGUGGGCUUCACAUCCCCCGUUUNNNNNNNNNNNNNNNGCCCCCGCAACUGGCAGGUGGAGCGGUGUUCCUCUGUGGCCUCCAUCCGCCCAGUUCCUGGUGGGGACCAAGGGUCAAUGAGUGUUUGCUGAAUUCCUGUGUGUAGUCAGGUGCUCUGCCUGCCUCUGUGGGUGUCUCGCCCUGUGGAACCCUGUGACUCUGGGUCCCUCUUUCUUGCCUGUGAGGUCAGGGCUUGGGGACUAACAAUGACAGCAAAUCAUAGGUGUUUGAAAUCUGGAGAAAGAGUUGGUCCUAACGGUGACAGCAGUCGGCCUCGCCAGGCCCAGAAAACUCCAGGUACUUGGGAGUUUGAAAUGGGGUAGGACCUGGGGCUCCUGGGAGCCUUGACUUUUGAAAGGUGAGCCCUUAGCUUCCCAACCAGAGCUCCUGUGAUCACCUGAUUAUCUCCAGGCCCCAACAGCCUCCUCUAGGCUCUAGGACCUGCUCCCCUUUCCCCCAAGAAAGAAGCUGAGCCCAGAGGGUUCUGGAGCCGUGUCUGGCUGCUCUCUGCCCCUUGAAGCUCUAGGGGCCAUACCUAUCCUGGGAGGCACCACUGGGCAAGGAAACAGGCCCUGGGGUUGACAGCCUCCCAGGAGGCACCCCCCCCAAGAGCCCCGACCUGGUACUCUACCUCUGAAUGUACUGAGGUUGACCUGCAUCAGCAGUAAGGUCCUGUAGAAGAUGAGGUCGCAGGGGCAUCCUGGCCUGUCUCUCUCUGUCCCUAAAAUCCUCCACUUGGAGGAGGCCAGCUGUUCUUUGCUAUGGAGCGGCCAACAGAGUGUGGGGUUUAUAAGCUGGUCUCCAGCCUUCAGCUGGGACCCCAGCUGCUGCCGACAUCUCAGUAGCAAUCCGAAGAGACUGAGAGCCGGGACCACCCAGCUGAGCAGUUCCAGGACUCCUAUCCCUCAGAAAUUGUGUGAGAUAAUGUGUUUGUUGUUUUAAACGGAUAAAUUGUAGGUUAAUUUGUUGUACAGCUAUAAUUAACAAUGUUUUAUGUAAAAUUAAAGUUAUUGUAAGUAACAAUAGCAGUAUACAACUAACGUGCCCAUGGUCACCCAGGGCCUCCAGCAUCACGUGCCCACUUGAUGAUGGGGUUGUGGAAGAGGAUGGGUGGAGCAAGGCCCAGAAACAGCCCUUGCAGUGGUGGUGAUGAGCAGAGCAGACUGGACUCAUGUCCAUUGGGAAGCAGUUCCCCUGUGAGUGCCAGCUACGGGUGCAGGGACAGGCCAGCCCCCUGUCCCCUUCCAUUCCCAUCCUGGGCUGACCAGCCACAGCCCAGGCCCCAUCCCUGUGGCUUGUGGGCAGGGCUUAGGGCCAUUUCUGUUUCAGUAACUGAGGGGGCACACUGUAUCAGAACAUGGUGUUGGGGGUUCUGGGGCCCCAGAUUUCAAACAAAAACAGGCAUGGGCGAUGCUCCAUGCUGGGAACCACAGAGCUGACUGCCCUGCCCAGAGAGGCCUGUUCCCAUCAGCCUGCCAUUCCCAGCACAAACCCUGCAACCUGCCCCCAGGGCCACACUGACCUGUCCCCAGUGGGCACAUCAACCUUCUUUGCAGCCUGGUGUCCAUGGUGACCAAGAGGCAACUGGCUGAUGCUGCUUCAGAGGUCUCUUCUUGGUGUCCUGCCUGACCCUGACACCCACCUGGUGACUUUGGGCUCACCUCCUGGGCUCCUGCUUCAAACAAAAAGUCUGCAUGUCUGUGUGGGGACGUGGGGGCCAAUUCCUGCCUUCCCGUCUUUACCCACAAGUGGGCCAGAGGCUGGUGAAGAGGAGGACUUCCCUUCGCUAGGAUCCCCCAGCACCCCUUACUCUGUCUAGCACGUGGGAUAGGGCUCAGCAGCUCCAGGUGUGGGGAGGCACCAUGGUCCUCUCCUGGCCGCCAUGUCCAUCCCCUGACAUAUGAGCUGACCAUGACCUGGGCCAUACACGAUAUCCAGGGGCUGGGCUCCAGCCAGGGCCCUUCAGCUCCUGACCCUCCCUUCACAUGGCCUUUCAAAGCGCAGGCCUCUGGGGCCCUAGGCUUGGACUUUCCCUGCCAGCCCAGGAUCAGUAAAGUAUUAGGGAAGACCUGGCCGAGCUUCUUCCUCUACCUGGAUCAGGAGGCUGGUUCUGGACCAAACCCCAGGUGGGACAGGGCAUCAUCUGGCUGUGUAUACAUGGGAUUUUCUUCUCUCUGUGUCCCCUGAAGUUUCUUUUGUUGAAUUAAGAGGUGAGGGUAACAUCCCACGACUGAGCUGACCAGUCUGCCCACUUGGAGCCCAAACUUUUUGGUUAGACUUUUCCAGAGCAGAGCCCAGGUCCUAUGGACUGGAUAUUUGUCUGCAAACUGUCCCUUGCCCUGCUAAUUCAUAUGUUGAAUACUACCCCCCAAGGUGGUGGCUUUAGGAAGUGGGGCCUCUGGAAGGAAAUUCGGUCAUGGAUUAGUGCCUUUCCUUUUCAAAAGGGACGAGAAGGGAGAGCUCAUGCUCAGGACAUGACUGGAAGGCAGGCUUUCCCUGGAAAGAGGUCCUCAUGGAACGCACACCCAUGCUGGCAUUUGCCUCUGGGUUCCUAUUAUUGAUUUGUGCUGUUAGGGCAGCCCUGCUGACCAGGACCCCUGGGCUUGAUGUUACUACACAGACAGGAGGCUGGAGGUGGCUGCUGACUGCCCCUCCCAGGACAGGAACAGGAGUUCUGGGUAUUUGGGUUGGUGCGUCUUGUGCCCAGGUCCUUCCCUGCCACACAGAUUUGACUCCUGUGCAAACCCAGCGAUCGAUGUCUUCCUGGGUCGGGAGGAGUUCCAGCCUGAACCCCAGGGUCCUGGGGAAAGUUGGAUCCGCCCCAGCCUGGAGCUGGGGAGUAUUGUGUGGAGUGAAUGAAAUAAAGCCUG
This is a long non-coding RNA of Bos mutus (wild yak), 3577 nucleotides long. The record is from Ensembl. NCBI's taxonomy places the organism in Eukaryota, Metazoa, Chordata, Mammalia, Artiodactyla, Bovidae.